Molecule: ribosomal RNA, 660 nt
Filed under: uncultured bacterium
Lineage: Bacteria
Description: bacterial SSU rRNA
Rfam family: Bacterial small subunit ribosomal RNA
Source: RNAcentral
AGUGGCGGACGGGUGAGUAACGCGUGAGAAUCUGCCUUGGGGUCGGGGACAACCACUGGAAACGGUGGCUAAUACCGGAUAAGCCGAUUGGUGAAAGAUUUAUUGCCCGAAGAGGAGCUCGCGUCUGAUUAGCUAGUUGGUGAGGUAAGAGCUCACCAAGGCAGCGAUCAGUAGCUGGUCUGAGAGGACGAUCAGCCACACUGGGACUGAGACACGGCCCAGACUCCUACGGGAGGCAGCAGUGGGGAAUUUUCCGCAAUGGGCGAAAGCCUGACGGAGCAAGACCGCGUGAGGGAGGAAGGCUCUUGGGUUGUAAACCUCUUUUCUCAGGGAAGAAGCUCUGACGGUACCUGAGGAAUCAGCCUCGGCUAACUCCGUGCCAGCAGCCGCGGUAAUACGGAGGAGGCAAGCGUUAUCCGGAAUUAUUGGGCGUAAAGCGUCCGCAGGUGGCGAUUCAAGUCUGCUGUCAAAGCACGGGGCUUAACUCCGUAAAGGCAGUGGAAACUGAAUAGCUAGAGUGCCGUAGGGGUAGAGGGAAUUCCCGGGUUAGCGGUGAAAUGCGUAGAGAUCGGGAAGAACAUCGGUGGCGAAAGCGCUCUACUGGACGGCAACUGACACUCAGGGACGAAAGCUAGGGGAGCGAAUGGGAUUAGAUACCCC